AAUGAGCAGCGAGGAUUCAAUUAAAACGUGUCGGAUUUAACUUGCCAUAAAUCGAAUUAAUUUCGUUAAGAUUAACAGUUUCAUUUCAAAUAGUUCUUCAUGCAAAAUCAAUUUAAAACCGUGCAUUUCUUAAAUCUAAAAUUAAACCUAAAUACGGAGAAUAAUUAUCACAGAUAACGCGUAGAACCAUCAUAACAGGCCGUACCACUUCCUGAAAAGUACACCAAAUUUCUUAAAGCUCACAUACAAUCGAGAAACGUGUUGCUCAAUUAGAGUUGGUGAUCCUAACCCAACAUUUCUUUAAGAAAUUUGUUAGGGUAUCGGAAGUAUGGCUGAGAAAAAUUCCCCGCAUAACUGCCAGUCGUGUGAGCGACCGGACUCUGCGGAAACUGAGAUGGUCCAAUGCGAAAAGUGUAAACUGUGCGCAUUUUGGAUGCGCUGGUGUCAACGAGCAAAUCCGGCAAUCGGGUACUACCUAUUUGUGUAAGCCAUGCGCGAAGCAAAAGAAAUCCAAGGAGAAUAGGACACGUUCAAAGACCGGCUCGAGGAGGGGAAAAAAACAAAGCUGUCACGUCGGAAAGCGUAACAUCUAGUGUCCGGGCGGCAACGUUAAUGGAACAGGUAAAGCUUAUCGAAGAGGAGCGGAAAAUUGAAGAAGAAGCUUUACUUGAAGA
Molecule: long non-coding RNA, 674 nt
Organism: Wyeomyia smithii (pitcher-plant mosquito)
Lineage: Eukaryota; Metazoa; Arthropoda; Insecta; Diptera; Culicidae
Exons: 3
Source: RefSeq, a predicted model, not a curated record